CCUACGGGUGGCUGCAGUAGGGAAUCUUCCACAAUGGACGAAAGUCUGAUGGAGCAACGCCGCGUGAGGGAUGAAGGUCUUCGGAUCGUAAACCUCUGUCAGCAGGGAAGAAAAGUCACUGAGCUGAUCAGCAGUCACUGGACAGUACCUGCAAAGGAAGCACCGUCUAACUCAGUGCCAGCAGCCGAGGUAAUACGGAGGGGGCGAGCGUUAGUCGGAAUUACUGGGCGUAAAGCGCGCGUAGGCGGUAUGUCAAGUCAAGGGUGAAAUCCCCGAGCUCAACGUGGGAACUGCCUUUGAAACUGGCAAGCUGGAGUGGGUGAGAGGAUAGUGGAAUUCCAGGUGUAGGAGUGAAAUCCGUAGUUAUCUGGAGGAACAUCAGUGGCGAAGGCGACUAUCUGGCACAUAACUGACGCUGAGGAGCGAAAGCGUGGGUAGCAAACAGGAUUAGAUACCCCAGUAGUC
This 465-nucleotide ribosomal RNA is filed under the name uncultured bacterium. RNAcentral's name for it is "partial 16S ribosomal RNA". It matches the Rfam family "Bacterial small subunit ribosomal RNA", at positions 338 to 795 of the family's 1533-position model. The record is from RNAcentral.